AUAUAUAUAUAUAUAUAUAUAUAUAUAUAUAUAUAUAUAUACAUUCAAAUAUAAUAUCUUCCACGUAAUGCUUAUGAGGAGAAAUCGAUUUCGAUAAAACUGGAUCAGGAAAAAAAAAAACAAUAUAAUAAUAAUAAUGAAAAUUCAAAUAAAACAAUAUCAAGGCUGGUUAAAUAAUUGUUAGUCUUUUUAAAUACAAAAUUACAUCCAUCGUAACUCUCAUAUUGGUCACGGUCUUAGCUAAAGGAUGAAUAAAUUAAGAAUACAAUAAUAAACCAGAAUAAAUGAAGAAAUGAAUAAAUUUACAGAAUAUUGCGUCCCUGGCCGGACGAAAAAUAAAAUGUGUUUCAUUAUCUUUAUCACGUGGAAAAACUGCGCUCAAUUAUUGCUAAGAAUUACACCCCUUUAUAUACUUAAAAAUACUUUCUUGCCCGAUGGAAAAAAAAAAAAAAGAAAAAAAGAGAGAAAAAAAAAACCCAAUUAAUUACGCGAGAACAAUUCGGUUGCAAUUUUUAAAUUCUAAAACACAAGAAAAAGAUUUGUUCGUUCCUUUUUUUGCAAAAAACGAUAUCGUACUAACGUCGACGUAUACAUAUAUUGAUACGAGUUUAUUAAAAAGGAAAGUUAAAUAACCGAUGGGUAAAAAAGCGAAUCAAUAGGCCAGUUGGAAGAAGAAAGGCACGCAGCUUGAUCGCAUAAGAUUUUUUUCUAAUUUAAAACAGUAUAAAGUACGUUUUUGAAAACUCAAUUCGCAAUGCGAAGCUGUACUCUUAACAAAGCAACAGCAUGAGACUCGAUGAUUAUCACAAAAAUGCAAUUCAGCUGCGUACAUUCUCUUAAAAGUAGUUACUUUGAAACGAU
This is a long non-coding RNA of Diprion similis, 861 nucleotides long. RefSeq lists it as uncharacterized. The transcript has 2 exons. The record is from RefSeq and is a predicted model, not a curated record. Lineage: Eukaryota; Metazoa; Arthropoda; Insecta; Hymenoptera; Diprionidae.